RNAcentral lists this ribosomal RNA (482 nucleotides) under uncultured bacterium. RNAcentral describes it as "partial 16S ribosomal RNA". It matches the Rfam family "Bacterial small subunit ribosomal RNA", at positions 28 to 523 of the family's 1533-position model. The record is from RNAcentral.
GACGAACGCUGGCGGCGUGCUUAACACAUGCAAGUCGAACGAUGAACUGGAGCUUGCUCCAGGGAUUAGUGGCGAACGGGUGAGUAACACGUGAGUAACCUGCCCUUGACUCUGGGAUAAGCGCUGGAAACGGCGUCUAAUACCGGAUACGAGCUUCAGCCGCAUGGCUAGGAGUUGGAAAGAAUUUCGGUCAAGGAUGGACUCGCGGCCUAUCAGCUAGUUGGUGAGGUAAUGGCUCACCAAGGCGACGACGGGUAGCCGGCCUGAGAGGGUGACCGGCCACACUGGGACUGAGACACGGCCCAGACUCCUACGGGAGGCAGCAGUGGGGAAUAUUGUACAAUGGGCGCAAGCCUGAUGCAGCAACGCCGCGUGAGGGAUGACGGCCUUCGGGUUGUAAACCUCUUUUAGUAGGGAAGAAGCGAAAGUGACGGUACCUGCAGAAAAAGCACCGGCUAACUACGUGCCAGCCGCCGCGGUAA